Long non-coding RNA from Galeopterus variegatus (Sunda flying lemur), 285 nucleotides. RefSeq lists it as uncharacterized. The record is from RefSeq and is a predicted model, not a curated record. The transcript has 2 exons. NCBI's taxonomy places the organism in Eukaryota, Metazoa, Chordata, Mammalia, Dermoptera, Cynocephalidae.
GAGCCAGAGUGGGUCAAGAAUUGGAGCCCGGGGUGGGGAAGUAUAGGGCGCCCCUCUGCAGGCCCUGCGUUCGCUUGGAGUUUGAGCCUUGGCCCUGUUCCCCAGGAGAGGUCUUGUUUGGGGUGCAGGACACAGCGUGUAAACCGCCCUUUGGACUCCCUGUGUCCUUGAGAUGAGGAAACAAACCCAGCGAGGAAGUGAAUUGCCCAAGUUCACAUAAUUGAAGAGGAUGGAUUAAAACUGAAGUUCUCUGAUUCCCAGUUAAAUAGUCAUUAUAAUACUGUU